RNAcentral lists this ribosomal RNA (497 nucleotides) under uncultured bacterium. RNAcentral's name for it is "partial 16S ribosomal RNA". It matches the Rfam family "Bacterial small subunit ribosomal RNA", at positions 28 to 507 of the family's 1533-position model. The record is from RNAcentral.
GAUGAACGCUGGCGGCGUGCCUAAUACAUGCAAGUCGAGCGAACAGACGAGGAGCUUGCUCCUCUGACGUUAGCGGCGGACGGGUGAGUAACACGCGGAUAACCUACCUAUAAGACUGGGAUAACUUCGGGAAACCGGAGCUAAUACCGGAUAAUAUAUUGAACCGCAUGGUUCAAUAGUGAAAGACGGUUUUGCUGUCACUUAUAGAUGGAUCCGCGCCGCAUUAGCUAGUUGGUAAGGUAACGGCUUACCAAGGCAACGAUGCGUAGCCGACCUGAGAGGGUGAUCGGCCACACUGGAACUGAGACACGGUCCAGACUCCUACGGGAGGCAGCAGUAGGGAAUCUUCCGCAAUGGGCGAAAGCCUGACGGAGCAACGCCGCGUGAGUGAUGAAGGUCUUCGGAUCGUAAAACUCUGUUAUUAGGGAAGAACAAAUGUGUAAGUAACUAUGCACGUCUUGACGGUACCUAAUCAGAAAGCCACGGCUAACCACGUG